CCUACGGGAGGCAGCAGUGGGGAAUCUUGCGCAAUGGCCGAGAGGCUGACGCAGCGACGCCGCGUGGGGGAUGAAGCAUUUCGGUGUGUAAACCCCUGUUGCUCGGGACGAACGACCCUUUUCGAGGGGUGUGACGGUACCGAGUGAGGAAGCACCGGCUAACUCCGUGCCAGCAGCCGCGGUAAUACGGAGGGUGCAAGCGUUGUCCGGAAUCACUGGGCGUAAAGGGCGCGUAGGUGGUUAGAUGCGCCGGUGGUGAAAGCGCAGGGCUCAACCCUGCGUCGGCCAUCGGGACGGUCUGACUGGAGCACUGUAGAGGCAGGUGGAAUUCCGGGUGUAGCGGUGGAAUGCGUAGAGAUCCGGAAGAACACCGGUGGCGAAGGCGGCCUGCUGGGCAGUUGCUGACACUGAGGCGCGACAGCGUGGGGGAGCGAAACAGGAUUAGGAUACCCUGGUAGUCCACGCCGUAAACGAUGGGCACUAGGUGCUUGGGGGAGCGACCCCCUGAGUGCCGACGCUAACGCGAUAAGUGCCCCGCCUGGGGAGUACGCCGCAGGUUGAACUCAAUGAAUUGACGGCUGAGAGNGCGAGCGACGACGAGGGAGGAGG
RNAcentral lists this ribosomal RNA (609 nucleotides) under uncultured bacterium. RNAcentral's name for it is "bacterial SSU rRNA". It matches the Rfam family "Bacterial small subunit ribosomal RNA", at positions 338 to 947 of the family's 1533-position model. The record is from RNAcentral.